UAGGGAAUCUUCCACAAUGGACGCAAGUCUGAUGGAGCAACGCCGCGUGAGUGAAGAAGGUUUUCGGAUCGUAAAGCUCUGUUGUUGGUGAAGAAGGAUAGAGGCAGUAACUGGUCUUUAUUUGACGGUAAUCAACCAGAAAGUUACGGCUAACUACGUGCCAGCAGCCGCGGUAAUACGUAGGUGGCAAGCGUUGUCCGGAUUUAUUGGGCGUAAAGCGAGCGCAGGCGGAAUGAUAAGUCUGAUGUGAAAGCCCACGGCUCAACCGUGGAACUGCAUCGGAAACUGUCAUUCUUGAGUGCAGAAGAGGAGAGUGGAAUUCCAUGUGUAGCGGUGGAAUGCGUAGAUAUAUGGAAGAACACCAGUGGCGAAGGCGGCUCUCUGGUCUGCAACUGACGCUGAGGCUCGAAAGCAAGGGUAGCGAACAGG
This 429-nucleotide ribosomal RNA is filed under the name bacterium. Its description in RNAcentral is "partial 16S ribosomal RNA". It matches the Rfam family "Bacterial small subunit ribosomal RNA", at positions 355 to 776 of the family's 1533-position model. The record is from RNAcentral.